GGGGUGAUCAAUAUGAUCUCUGAAUGAUCGAAUUGGGAGGCAACUUCCGAAGAAGAGUCGGUGAAAUGACAACGACUCAACAAUGUAAUAAUUUUUUCGGAAGAAGAUGUUCGGAGAAUUCAGACUCUCCAUGAUGAUGCUAUUGUCGUCUCAGCAAUGAUAGUAAAUUAUGAUGUAAAAAAAAUCCUUGUAGAUAAUGAAAGUUUAACUGAUGUUCUAUUUUACUAGACUU
Molecule: long non-coding RNA, 232 nt
Filed under: Elaeis guineensis (African oil palm)
Lineage: Eukaryota; Viridiplantae; Streptophyta; Magnoliopsida; Arecales; Arecaceae
Description: long non-coding RNA (EGUI_LNC008174)
Source: RNAcentral